AGAGAUGGAUAUGAGGUGCGUGCAAGUACAAGUGUGCAAUGACAGGUACCCUAUCUUGCACCUGUUUUGCUCAUAAAAAAGCGCACAUGUUGUUCUUGAUUUGGUUUUCUUUUCCAUGUGCAGUUUUAAUUUUUUGUUCGCUCAAAGUGACAUUAAAAUGAAGAUCCUAUAACUGAAGUUGGAUCUUCACUCCUACACAACACAUACUUUUUAGCUGAAUAAAUGGCUACAACUUCACCACAUAUGACCGUAAUUAAAUCUCAUGUUUCAUGCUCUGACUUAUGUACUACCAAUUUUUAUGUUAAACAUGAUUAAAUUAUUUCUGAUUGUAUUUAAUAUAUCGCUGUAUACUAUCUUCAGCUAUCAUACAACUGCAUGUAGGUAAAAUAUUCAUGUUCAUUGGUUGAAUAUCAAUUAAUGUUUUUUUCUCUAGAAUAGGUGGCGGAAUGGCAAGGCGUCUGGUCAGAUGACCUGUGUCUGUGGUCAGUUGGUGGAUCUCGACUACAGGAACAUCACCGAUGCAAUCCAUAGUAGAUUGGUAAAUUGCUCACACAACAUGUUUAGAAUUGGAAAAUAUUAAUUUUGUUCUUCUGUUUUAUUUUUUCUGACUAAAAGUAGCAGUUUUGCUUCUGUAUUAAGAUUUCAACAAGAAUUUAUAAAGGCCUCUAAGGAAGCAGAGGAAAGAAAGAAAACGCCUGAUAGUGCAAAGUGCACUUUGGCAGUAAGGUCAACAUGAGACUACUAAUGAAACACCUCCAUCAGGAGGCAACAAUAUACAGAUACGAACUCCCAAAUAUUGCAUGCUCAUGAAAGCUGAUAACAUGCUCAUGAAAGCUGAUAGCAUGCUCAUAAAAAGACUUGGGUGUGCAGCGCCACUCGAAGCUUUAGAAGGUCCACACCCUAGCAUGAUUAAACUGGACUGUACUUACUAUUCUCACUUGGUUCUGGUUAUAAGUUUUUUAAUGGUUUUUUCCUUCCCUUGCAGUUGUUCCAAUGGGAUGUAGAUAGUAGGAUCGAGACUACAAUGUCACAUGGUGGAAGCAAGUCAGUUGCCAAGAACAGUUUCUAUUAUGCUGACUUAAUGUAUAUCCAGUUUAGAAGAAUUUAUCUGACAUUUAUCUUAUGAUUGUGCCUGCAAGUUGAAAUUUUAAUUAAUUUAACAAAUGACAGGAGAAAGUGAUGCGUGCUAGCCGUGAACUUAAUGGGUCGCUUGUUCCUUGCAGAUGAAUCCAUUCUGAUGAGCUUUGUAAAUAUUAGGUAAAUGUCGUGAAACUUAAGAUAAUCUCUCAAGCAUAUAAUUUAGGCAUUUCACUCCUAAGUGUAAUGAUAUAUGACACUGAACCAUUCGAUUGAAUAUCUUCUCAGUGUUUCCAAAAUAGCCUAAUUAUUAUAACAUGAUGGGAGAGUGGUAAUAAGCUAUUAAAUGACACACAGCGGGAAUAAACUGAGCAUUUACUUAAUUUGGUCGUAAAUAUGAGCUUGGGUUUUUCAGGUUGCAUCUUGUACAAAUCAAAUUAUAUUUGGUGCUAAAUUUACUGGAUUUGAAUUGUAGUGAUGGUGAUCUAUUAUUUAGAUGGGUGUACUUCAGUGCUCCUAUUUCUCACAUGUCUUACAAGUUAUUGCUGCAAUAUGUGGAAUAUAGAGCGGUACUGGUAAUCUGUGAUGUGACUAAUGCAAACUAAAAAACUCACUGCAAUACAAGUAUUCUUUUUUAAUUGUCUGAUGGGAAAAUAGGUAAAUAGCUUGUGAGCAGACAUGGAUACACCGAGCCAAAUUAUUUAUGCUAGAUAGGUUUGUGUAUUUUUUAUAAUAGUUUAAUUCAAGCUUUGCCUGUUGUACUUUGUUUUACCUGUUAUACUUUGGUUAGCAGAUAAAAUUUGAUGUUGUCCCCUUGAGAUUAAACGGAUGCGUCACACUAUCAGACGAAAUGCGUGUUACAUCAAACAAAAUCCAUGAUCGAGCUACCUUGGACCCUACUGCUUCAAGCACUAU
Molecule: long non-coding RNA, 1992 nt
Filed under: Triticum aestivum (bread wheat)
Lineage: Eukaryota; Viridiplantae; Streptophyta; Magnoliopsida; Poales; Poaceae
Description: long non-coding RNA (TAES_LNC017448)
Source: RNAcentral